RNAcentral lists this ribosomal RNA (477 nucleotides) under uncultured bacterium. Its description in RNAcentral is "partial 16S ribosomal RNA". It matches the Rfam family "Bacterial small subunit ribosomal RNA", at positions 28 to 507 of the family's 1533-position model. The record is from RNAcentral.
GAUGAACGCUGGCGGCGUGCCUAAUACAUGCAAGUCGAGCGAACAGACGAGGAGCUUGCUCCUCUGACGUUAGCGGCGGACGGGUGAGUAACACGUGGAUAACCUACCUAUAAGACUGGGAUAACUUCGGGAAACCGGAGCUAAUACCGGAUAAUAUAUUGAACCGCAUGGUUCAAUAGUGAAAGACGGUUUUGCUGUCACUUAUAGAUGGAUCCGCGCCGCAUUAGCUAGUUGGUAAGGUAACGGCUUACCAAGGCAACGAUGCGUAGCCGACAUGGGAGGGUGGACGCAGACAAUGGUCCUGAGAGAAGGCACAGACGGCGAUGGGAGGCAGUAGGGGGAAAUAUUGCAGAAUGAGCGGAAGCCUGAUGUAGAGAGGACGCGAGAGGGAUGAUGUGUUAUGGGUUGUAAACCUAUUUCAGAAGAGACGAAGCGUAAGUGACGGUACCUGCAGAGGAAGCACAGGCUAACUACGGG